Molecule: non-coding RNA, 84 nt
Organism: Arthromyces matolae
Lineage: Eukaryota; Fungi; Basidiomycota; Agaricomycetes; Agaricales; Lyophyllaceae
Source: the annotation of a GenBank genome assembly
ACACCGAUGGUGAAGUGGUUAUCAUGCUUGCCUUCCAUGCAUAGUCAUCAGCAAGCGGCACGGGUUCGAUUCCCGUUCGGUGUA